RNAcentral lists this transfer RNA (83 nucleotides) under Butyrivibrio sp. RNAcentral describes it as "tRNA-Leu". It matches the Rfam family "tRNA". Rfam says of the family: Transfer RNA (tRNA) molecules are approximately 80 nucleotides in length. Their secondary structure includes four short double-helical elements and three loops (D, anti-codon, and T loops). RNAcentral also lists the same sequence under 7 other names. The record is from RNAcentral. Lineage: Bacteria; Bacillati; Bacillota; Clostridia; Lachnospirales; Lachnospiraceae.
GCGGAUGUGGCGGAAUGGCAGACGCAGCAGACUCAAAAUCUGCCGGUGGCAACAUCGUGCGGGUUCAAGUCCCGCCAUCCGCA